GGAUGAACGCUGGCGGCGUGCCUAAUACAUGCAAGUCGAACGAGUUCUCGUUGAUGAUCGGUGCUUGCACCGAGAUUCAACAUGGAACGAGUGGCGGACGGGUGAGUAACACGUGGGUAACCUGCCCUUAAGUGGGGGAUAACAUUUGGAAACAGAUGCUAAUACCGCAUAGAUCCAAGAACCGCAUGGUUCUUGGCUGAAAGAUGGCGUAAGCUAUCGCUUUUGGAUGGACCCGCGGCGUAUUAGCUAGUUGGUGAGGUAAUGGCUCACCAAGGCGAUGAUACGUAGCCGAACUGAGAGGUUGAUCGGCCACAUUGGGACUGAGACACGGCCCAAACUCCUACGGGAGGCAGCAGUAGGGAAUCUUCCACAAUGGACGCAAGUCUGAUGGAGCAACGCCGCGUGAGUGAAGAAGGCUUUCGGGUCGUAAAACUCUGUUGUUGGAGAAGAAUGGUCGGCAGAGUAACUGUUGUCGGCGUGACGGUAUCCAACCAGAAAGCCACGGCUAACUACGUGCCAGCAGCCGCGGUAAUACGUAGGUGGCAAGCGUUAUCCGGAUUUAUUGGGCGUAAAGCGAGCGCAGGCGGUUUUUUAAGUCUGAUGUGAAAGCCCUCGGCUUAACCGAGGAAGCGCAUCGGAAACUGGGAAACUUGAGUGCAGAAGAGGACAGUGGAACUCCAUGUGUAGCGGUGAAAUGCGUAGAUAUAUGGAAGAACACCAGUGGCGAAGGCGGCUGUCUGGUCUGUAACUGACGCUGAGGCUCGAAAGCAUGGGUAGCGAACAGGAUUAGAUACCCUGGUAGUCCAUGCCGUAAACGAUGAAUGCUAGGUGUUGGAGGGUUUCCGCCCUUCAGUGCCGCAGCUAACGCAUUAAGCAUUCCGCCUGGGGAGUACGACCGCAAGGUUGAAACUCAAAGGAAUUGACGGGGGCCCGCACAAGCGGUGGAGCAUGUGGUUUAAUUCGAAGCAACGCGAAGAGCCUUACCAGGUCUUGACAUCUUUUGAUCACCUGAGAGAUCAGGUUUCCCCUUCGGGGGCAAAAUGACAGGUGGUGCAUGGUUGUCGUCAGCUCGUGUCGUGAGAUGUUGGGUUAAGUCCCGCAACGAGCGCAACCCUUAUGACUAGUUGCCAGCAUUUAGUUGGGCACUCUAGUAAGACUGCCGGUGACAAACCGGAGGAAGGUGGGGAUGGCGUCAAAUCAUCAUGCCCCUUAUGACCUGGGCUACACACGUGCUACAAUGGAUGGUACAACGAGUUGCGAGACCGCGAGGUCAAGCUAAUCUCUUAAAGCCAUUCUCAGUUCGGACUGUAGGCUGCAACUCGCCUACACGAAGUCGGAAUCGCUAGUAAUCGCGGAUCAGCACGCCGCGGUGAAUACGUUCCCGGGCCUUGUACACACCGCCCGUCACACCAUGAGAGUUUGUAACACCCGAAGCCGGUGGCGUAACCCUUUUAGGGAGCGAGCCGUCUAAGGUGGGACAAAUGA
RNAcentral lists this ribosomal RNA (1485 nucleotides) under uncultured organism. RNAcentral's name for it is "16S ribosomal RNA". It matches the Rfam family "Bacterial small subunit ribosomal RNA". The record is from RNAcentral.